CCUACGGGAGGCAGCAGUGAGGAAUAUUGGUCAAUGGGCGCGAGCCUGAACCAGCCAAGUAGCGUGAAGGAUGACUGCCCUACGGGUUGUAAACUUCUUUUAUAAAGGAAUAAAGUGAGGCACGUGUGCAUUUUUGUAUGUAGGUUAUGAAUAAGGAUGGGCUACCGCCGUGCCAGCAGCCGCGGUAAUACGGAGGAUCCGAGCGUUAUCCGGAUUGAUUGGGUUUAAAGGGAGCGUAGAUGGGUUGUUAAGUCAGUUGUGAAAGUUUGCGGCUCAACCGUAAAAUUGCCAUUGAUACUGGCAGCCUUGAGUACAGUUGAGGUAGGCGGACUUCGUGGUGUAGCGGUGAACUGCUUAGCUCUCACGAAGCACUCCGAUUGCGAAGGCAGCCUACUAAACUGCCCCUGACAUUGAUGCUCGAAAGUGUGGGUAUCAAACAGGAUUAGAUACCCCAGUAGUC
Molecule: ribosomal RNA, 460 nt
Filed under: uncultured bacterium
Lineage: Bacteria
Description: partial 16S ribosomal RNA
Rfam family: Bacterial small subunit ribosomal RNA
Source: RNAcentral